UCUCCGUAGGUGAACCUGCGGAGGGAUCAUUACCAGAGAUGGCGGGCCCCCGCGCCCCCGUCCCCAACCCUUUGUUGACCAAACCACUUUUGCCUCGGGGGCAGAGCGGCCUCCGCCGCCCCCGGUGGACCACCCAACCCUGCAUCGUUGCGUCUGAGUCGAAAUAUAAAUCAAUCAAAACUUUCAACAACGGAUCUCUUGGUUCUGGCAUCGAUGAAGAACGCAGC
Molecule: unclassified non-coding RNA, 227 nt
Filed under: uncultured fungus
Lineage: Eukaryota; Fungi
Description: sequence contains ITS1, 5.8S rRNA gene
Rfam family: 5.8S ribosomal RNA (bases 179-227)
Source: RNAcentral